CUCUUGAGCUGGUGAAGUAGAUCACAGGCAGGAAGAGAGGGGAAAAAGAGCCAAACUUCACUUCUCAAUACAGAAACUUAACUAGAGCUAAGAUACUCUUGGAAUUGAAAAUAUCACUGGUAACUCCCAGGAACUCAUCCUGCCUUAGGUCUUGAUCCCUCCUGCCCCAGGGCUUGUUGUUCCAUAAAUCAUCAUGUUUUCUAGGAGUUGGCCCCUGGUUACAGGAGGCAGAGUAAGAGUCCCCCAGAGAUGUGCACAUCCCAUCCCCAGAACUCAUGAAUAUGUGAGCUUACAUAGCAAAAGAGUCUUUGCUGUUGUGAUUAAGUUAUGGAUGUGAGUCAGGGAGAUUUUCCUGAAUUAUCUAAGUGGACUUGAUGUAAUCACAUGCGUCCUUACAAUUGUCAGGGAGAGGUAAAAAGGUCAGAAAUGCAGCAGAACAAACUAGGGUGAUAGAGAAGGAGAUUGGAGCAGAGUCAUUGCUGGGAGCUAAGGGACACAGGCAGCCUCUAGAAGAGCAAAGUCAAGGGACAGACGUACCCCUAGAGCUACAGAGCUGCCAAGGUGCAGCCCUGCCGACACUCUGAUUUUAGCCCCAAAAGCCCUUUUUGUACUUCUGACCUCAAGAACUGUAAGUUACAAUAAUACACUUGUGUUGUUUUAAGCCACCAUGAUUGUGAUCAUUUGUUACAGCAGCCCUAGGGAACGAAUCCACUGGCCUCCCGUCCUUCCUGAGUGUGCACACCCUGUUAGAGCCCCACGGCUUACAGUUCUACCGAAAAUGUUUGCAAAGCUCUGUGACAGAAGGAGCCUGCUGGAUUCAGAAAGAGAUCACACUUUGGAGGAGGAGAGAUGGUGGGACGCUCACAUUGCAUAGUGACUGUACCCCUCAGGCUGGCAAGACACCAAAGGGUGGCUGAAGACACCAGAGUUCUCUGCUUUCCCAAGAUCUGUGCACCCAUAGAAGCUCAGAGAGUUGGGAAGACCACUGCCAGCCUGGAUAGUGAGGGGGUUGGUGACAGCCUUGGGGGAUGAGAAGUUAGGGGCCCUUUCCUUGUCUUCUGGGUACCAUAAAAUUCUCCCAGAUUCUAAAGUGACUCCCAAGAGAGGUAAAUGCUCAACAGUGACAAAGAUGGCAUUUCCACCUAGCUUGGAGGGGAUUACAUUUGGAAACUGAUUUAAACUGAGUUUAAUGAAAAUGAAGAGAUACCAAUUUCUUGUACAUUUGAGUGUGGGGACUAAGACUCAUGAUUACACGUUCUGUGGAGGACCCUGUUGCAGGAGUUGCAGCGUUGGGGUGCUCCAAAAUCUGAGGACCUUUGUAACCUAAUGAGUGCAUCUAAGCCAAGGAGGCCUGGACUGUGAGAAACAGGAGCCUGGUGAGAGAGAGUCAUUUUCAAUGUCCACAGGCUUGUCAUCCCUCCAUCCCUGAGAUUGAUACAAACCUGGCACAUCAGUGCUCAAUAAAUGCUUACUUCGAGGGAUUAGGCA
Molecule: long non-coding RNA, 1488 nt
Filed under: Vulpes vulpes (red fox)
Lineage: Eukaryota; Metazoa; Chordata; Mammalia; Carnivora; Canidae
Description: lncRNA (ENSVVUG00000014795.1)
Source: RNAcentral